Molecule: ribosomal RNA, 591 nt
Filed under: Salmonella enterica subsp. enterica serovar Paratyphi B var. L(+) tartrate +
Lineage: Bacteria; Pseudomonadati; Pseudomonadota; Gammaproteobacteria; Enterobacterales; Enterobacteriaceae
Description: partial 23S ribosomal RNA
Rfam family: Bacterial large subunit ribosomal RNA
Source: RNAcentral
CGUGCUAAUCUGCGAUAAGCGCCGGUAAGGUGAUAUGAACCGUUAUAACCGGCGAUACCCGAAUGGGGAAACCCAGUGUGAUUCGUCACACUAUCAUUAACUGAAUCCAUAGGUUAAUGAGGCGAACCGGGGGAACUGAAACAUCUAAGUACCCCGAGGAAAAGAAAUCAACCGAGAUUCCCCCAGUAGCGGCGAGCGAACGGGGAGGAGCCCAGAGCCUGAAUCAGCAUGUGUGUUAGUGGAAGCGUCUGGAAAGGCGCGCGAUACAGGGUGACAGCCCCGUACACAAAAGCGCAUGUGUUGUGAGCUCGAUGAGUAGGGCGGGACACGUGGUAUCCUGUCUGAAUAUGGGGGGACCAUCCUCCAAGGCUAAAUACUCCUGACUGACCGAUAGUGAACCAGUACCGUGAGGGAAAGGCGAAAAGAACCCCGGCGAGGGGAGUGAAAAAGAACCUGAAACCGUGUACGUACAAGCAGUGGGAGCACAGGUUUACCUGUGUGACUGCGUACCUUUUGUAUAAUGGGUCAGCGACUUAUAUUCUGUAGCAAGGUUAACCGAAUAGGGGAGCCGGAGGGAAACCGAGUCUUAAU